UCUCCACGUUACCUGAAAGCACACCAACAGAUCCACACCAGAAAGACUCUACAAGUGCAGUUACUGUGAGAAGCAGAGCGACACAGAUGGAUCAAGUUCUCAACCCUGUCAUCGCUGUGGGAAAGACUUUUGUUGUGACCUUUGUGGAAAAAGUUGAAGUCAUUGAAGGACUCUGAAAAUACAUCAACGUAGACACACUGGAAACAAAAUGUACUGUAAAGAAUGCGGGAGAGGCUUCACCACUUCAAAGGACUUCAAACAAUAUGAACUCCUUCACAGUGGCGUUAAAAAGCAUGUCUGCGAUCAGUGUGGGUCAUCCUUCAUCAGUGCACGUCAGCUUGAAAAGCAUAAACGAGUCCACACAUGAGAGAAACCAUACAAGUGCAGACACUGUGACAAAACCUUUUCACAAUCAUGUGAUCAUACUAAGCAUGAACGCAGACACAUGAAAGAGAACUUCAUCUGUGAAAGAGUUUGAGUAAUCUCAGUUCAUACUCCACUCAGAAACGAUUCCAUGUUACAAAUAAACUGUUACGUCUUGAUUCCUGCUUUUACGUUAAUCUUGUAAACAGUACAUUUGCAUAACGACUGAAACCGGCUCAAUGAAUGAACAAUGGGCUGUGAGGUCAGUUUCUAAUAUGCAAAUUCUUAUGAGCAUUGAUCAACAACCACUGGUCAAUGGCCAUGAGUACCAUUCAGAGAGUAAAAAUUUGCAUAAUGAUUAUGAAGUUUACUGUUACCAAUGUUCAAAAGUAUUUACUAAGUUAUCUUCUCUGUGCAAACAUCAGCGUGAUGCAGGACUGAAAUCAUUGCCAUCUCUGGAUCACAGUGAAUCUGCAGAGACAGAAAGAUCCUCUUCUGGUUUCAGGGUCAGACUUAAACCCCUGAGAUCAGGCUCCACAGAGUUCAGGUGGAGUCUUCUGUAAAGAUCUGAUGAGGCAGCUAUGAAUGAAAAUGUGCCUCUUGUUACAUUUUAAGCUUUCUAAACUGUUCUACUGUAGUGUUUGUGUUGAGUGGUUCGCUUUGUUCCAGCAGUUUGAUUAAGAAAUCUGUUUCCUGUUAUGUUGUUAUUGAAUGCAUUGAUCCAUGUGUUCUGCAGUUUUUUUUCAGCUUGUUUGUGUAAUGAAAUCCUGCAACAAUUAAACCAAAAUUUUAUAUGUUAAAUAAAGAAAUGGUUUACUGACAAAGAGUUUGAGCCGUGAUGUCAUUUCCUGUAUAUCAGAGCAACACCUGAAGUGACCAGUGUUUAAAGUCAGUCAAAUUUUGUGUCAGCGAUGCUUCACUACGUUAUCUGCUAACUGUUAGGGUGUAGAAGGACGAAACUCCCAGGGUGACCAGUGGCAGGAGCUUCCUGAUGCAGAGAGUUGAGUGUGGGGGAUAUAAAAGAGAAGCUGAGGCAUCCCAAGGUUAAAGCUGGCAUAACUGAACUUUAAUGUUUGAUGUGUGUUUUGGCUCUCCUGCACGCAGUAAUUAAUAGCUUGAACACAGCAGAGCUUGAUAUAAAGACCUGGGUGACAACUAACUUUAUGCUGCUGAUUAUACUUGGCCCUAAAAUACCUAGAAAUAUGGUAUCUAACCAGAUACUUGCUCUGGAUGGCAUUACCUUGGCCUCCAGUAACACCUUGGAGUAAUAUUUGACCAGGACAUUAAACAAAUAUUUAGGGCUGUGUGAUGAACCAAGUUGAAAAAGCAGAAGGAGUCACAAGAAUUAUUAGAAAAACAAAGUUUUCAUUCAUUUAACCCAAAUAUUAUAUUUACAAAAGUAAUUAAUGUUAAGCUCAUAAAAAAUGUCAAAGAAACAAAACUGAACUCAGGCAAAGAACUGCAAACUUAACAAACCAAAUGACUGCACAAAGAAAUAUAACUGACCUAAACAAACAUAACUGACCUAAACAUGAAAUGGCACAGAAGGGUAAAUAUAUUGUCUGAUCAGACCACUAUGACACACGAGGAGUUUUUCC
Oreochromis niloticus (Nile tilapia) is the source of this 1961-nucleotide long non-coding RNA. RefSeq lists it as uncharacterized. Lineage: Eukaryota; Metazoa; Chordata; Actinopteri; Cichliformes; Cichlidae. The transcript is spliced from 3 exons. The record is from RefSeq and is a predicted model, not a curated record.